GUUUCAUUUUGAUUGCAUAAUUGAGUUCUAUGACUUAAUGGGUAUUGUGUAUUCAUUUUGUAUUUUGUAGUUUCUGUCAAUGAAGUUAGCUUCUGUGAAUCCAAGGUUGGAAUUUAACAUGGAUAGUCUCUUGUCAAAAGAUGUAUUUCAGCCUAAUGGCUUUUCCCUCAUCAAACAUACCCAUUAGAUUCCUCUGCUUCUACUUUCUUUGGACAACAGACCCAGGAAUUUCCACCAGUACAUACUAAUCUUUCCAAUGGGGACCAUACAAGCACCACAUUAUGCCAAAACAACGGCAUGCAAUUACCUCCGGUCGAUGAAUUCGGCCAAGGUAUUCCAUAGUUUCCAACAUUGUGUGAAGAUGAUCUGCAAAGCAUUGUUCAGAUGGGGUUUGGUCAAGAACCCAAACCACAAUACAGGAUUUCAAUCAUCCCACAUGAAAAUUGAACUGUGGUCACCAUUGAUUUGUCCUCAACUCAAGGCCCAGAGGCUGCUGUAUAUUAAUGGAUUUUUUUUUACGAGAAAUAUUAAAAGAAAAAUCUUGAUGCUUACCUAAAAUAUAGUAGAAUCACAAGUUGCUUCAUUCACCAACUAAAUUUGAUUUGUUGGAUGAAGAACUGUGUUGAAUCAAGAAGGGUUGACUUUUGUUAAAUCUAUUUUCUAUAACAGCUUUAGAUA
Camellia sinensis is the source of this 678-nucleotide non-coding RNA. The record is from RefSeq and is a predicted model, not a curated record. Lineage: Eukaryota; Viridiplantae; Streptophyta; Magnoliopsida; Ericales; Theaceae.